CCACCGAAUAGGUUUGUAGACAAAUGACACAUUUCAUUCAAACGGCGACUUUAAAACUUUGAAAUUUACGCAUUAAGAUGCGCAAUGACUCAGGAGGUUCAGUGUAAUUUUUUUGUUAUUCCUUAAAAUUAAAUCGCCCACUUUGAAAUUCGAAUGGAUUAUAAUAUUAUAGGUGCGGCAAAUAUGUAUUAUUGUCCUUGUCCGCGUGUAAAAAAACCACUAGCGGACCUGUCAAUAGCGAUACAGUUUUUGAUGAAAACGUGUAUUUAUUUUUUUUUUUUUUUUUUUUUUUGCCGAAACCCUGGAGGGUAUUUUGCGCGCUUAUAUCCGCGGGGAAAAACCUAUAAAGUCGACCCGGGAGAAUAUUACAUCUGCAGUGGUACUGCACACCGCGCGUUUCGGUUCGUCGCGAGACGUCACGGUUGCCGACGGGGCCUCGCAAUAUUAUUUAAAAUAUUACAUUUUUUUUUUUUUUAUUUUUUUAUUAUUAUUUUUAUUUUUUUCAUUUCGUUUCUCCCGACCGCUCGGAACUAAAACACAAUAAUGACGAUAACGAUAACGAUGUUUUUACGCGUACGUUUGCACACGUCGCUUUACGGCUUGUCCGACAUUAUGAUAUUUUAUAUUUUUUACACAAUAUUAUGUUAUUAUAAUAUACGAUAGCGGCCUGAAGACGCGAAUUCGCUUCGCAAAUAUUAAUCAACACUCACACGCGCACGUGCAUGCCGCACACACGUGUGAUGCGGAUAGUUGUUUAGAGUAACACACACACACACACACACAAACGUACUUAUAAACACACACGUA
This is a non-coding RNA of Cinara cedri, 807 nucleotides long. NCBI's taxonomy places the organism in Eukaryota, Metazoa, Arthropoda, Insecta, Hemiptera, Aphididae. The record is from the annotation of a GenBank genome assembly.